Gasterosteus aculeatus aculeatus (three-spined stickleback) is the source of this 1137-nucleotide long non-coding RNA. The record is from Ensembl. Lineage: Eukaryota; Metazoa; Chordata; Actinopteri; Perciformes; Gasterosteidae.
CACAACUUUCUGAGUCUGUAUCGAGAGUUUCACAAUAAAAGCAUCAGAACAGACUGGAAUUAAGUGGCCUCACAGCAGAAAUAGAAAGUCGCUCUCAGUUCGGCUUCAGGUCAAAUAAGACCUCGUGCUCCCCGUCACACACAGUGGUACAUCUUUGGGUGUUUAUGGUGACUUGCUGCAUGACCCCCGUGUGACUCCGGACUCUGGCUGACAGGAAGCUGAACUCAGACCAGCUGCUGGAUACAAACAUUGUGUCUUCUCCUCGCAGCUCCCGGGCUGACCGGCAUCGUGGGCGGACGGCCCCGAGUGUCUCCGGUGCUGAAGCCCUUCUUCUUCUUACACCCCAAAGCUGAGCUGAAGGUGGACGUCCACGUCGGGGGGGAGCUGGUGGAGACUCUCAAGGAGGCGGGGCCUGACCCGCUUGAGCAGGAAGCCCCUCCCACCUCAGCACAGGAAGAACCCGACGCAGGUGAACCGGCUCACCGGAGGUUCCAGGGGCCUUGACGAGACCCAUAUGGUCUGUAAUCAAGCGGUCCUUGAGGGUGUUUUGGGGGUCCUUUCGCCUUCCUCAAGGGCUCCCAAAGGGUCCUUGAGGGCUCCUGGGUGCUGGAAAAGGUCAUGGGGCUCCAUUAGUCCAGAGGUCCUUGAAGAGGCUUCAUUUGCUCCUAAGAAGGAGCCUAAAACCUCACUGAGUGGUCUCAAGUGGUGCUUGAGGGGUUUGGGGGGUUCUGAAAAGGGGCUUGGUUAGUCCUUGAGGAAGUUCCAGGGUCCUUGAGGUUCUUGAUUCAUCAGUUAUUGAUUACGGACGACAGAGUGCUGUGGAGGGAUUUGUUGCGUUACUGAUCACACGUCAUUUAUCUGACGCUUUUAUCCAAAGCGACUUAAAUAAGAACAUUUAACCAUAAGGACACAAACUCAGAAGAACAAGAAACAAGAAAGUGUGAUUUCCUCAAAUAAUGUACAACUUGCUGUAGAUAAGAACCAUUAUAAGUCCAAUGUAAGUGGUGCAGUUAGUUAGUGUGUUAGUGGAGGUAGAGUCUGAAGAGGUGUGUCUUUAGUCUGAAGAUGUGAAGGCUCUCUGUGGUCCUGAUGUCUUCAGAGUGAUGACACACUGCUGUCUGCCUCCAGAGGGCGCCG